GGUGAACGCUGGCGGUAGGCCUAACACAUGCAAGUCGAACGGCAGCACAGUAAGAGCUUGCUCUUACGGGUGGCGAGUGGCGGACGGGUGAGGAAUACAUCGGAAUCUACUUUUUCGUGGGGGAGAACGUAGGGAAACUUACGCUAAUACCGCAUACGACCUACGGGUGAAAGCAGGGGAUCUUCGGACCUUGCGCGAUUGAAUGAGCCGAUGUCGGAUUAGCUAGUUGGCGGGGUAAAGGCCCACCAAGGCGACGAUCCGUAGCUGGUCUGAGAGGAUGAUCAGCCACACUGGAACUGAGACACGGUCCAGACUCCUACGGGAGGCAGCAGUGGGGAAUAUUGGACAAUGGGCGCAAGCCUGAUCCAGCCAUACCGCGUGGGUGAAGAAGGCCUUCGGGUUGCAAAGCCCUUUUGUUGGGAAAGAAAAGCAGCAGGUUAAUACCCCGCUGUUCUGACGGUACCCAAAGAAUAAGCACCGGCUAACUUCGUG
This 492-nucleotide ribosomal RNA is filed under the name uncultured bacterium. RNAcentral's name for it is "partial 16S ribosomal RNA". It matches the Rfam family "Bacterial small subunit ribosomal RNA", at positions 28 to 507 of the family's 1533-position model. The record is from RNAcentral.